RNAcentral lists this ribosomal RNA (438 nucleotides) under uncultured bacterium. Its description in RNAcentral is "bacterial SSU rRNA". It matches the Rfam family "Bacterial small subunit ribosomal RNA", at positions 355 to 786 of the family's 1533-position model. The record is from RNAcentral.
UGAGGAAUAUUGGUCAAUGGGCGCGAGCCUGAACCAGCCAAGUCGCGUGAGGGAAGACUGCCCUAUGGGUUGUAAAUCCUCGUUUUGUCGGGGAGCAACGACAUCUCGAGAGAUGUGAUGAGAGUACCCGAAGAAAAAUGCAUCGGCUAACUCCGUGCCAGCAGCCGCGGUAAUACGGAGGAUGCGAGCGUUAUCCGGAUUUAUUGGGUUUAAAGGGUGCGUAGGCGGGAUUUCAAGUCAGCGGUCAAAUCGUGGGGCCCCAAACCCCCAUUCCGCCGUUGAAACUGGGAUUCUUGAGGGAUCGAGAGGUAUGCGGAAUGCGUGGUGUAGCUGUGAAAUGCAUAGAUAUCACGCAGAACCCCGAUUGCGAAGGCAGCAUACCGGCGGUCUACUGACGCUGAGGCACGAAAGCGUGGGUAUCGAACAGGAUUAGAUACU